GCCUUUGUGGUGUAGUGGUCAGCACGCUCGACUCGAAUUCGAGAAUUUGUGGUUUCGAGUUCCGGUGAGGGCA
This 73-nucleotide transfer RNA is filed under the name Stegodyphus mimosarum. It matches the Rfam family "tRNA". From Rfam's summary of the family: Transfer RNA (tRNA) molecules are approximately 80 nucleotides in length. Their secondary structure includes four short double-helical elements and three loops (D, anti-codon, and T loops). The record is from Rfam by way of RNAcentral. Lineage: Eukaryota; Metazoa; Arthropoda; Arachnida; Araneae; Eresidae.